CAGUACAGUGCUGUUGCAGUGUGGGUCCCACAGACUGAUACACCUCAGGUAAUAAAUGUCUCAGCUUCGUAUGAGUUUGGACAGGCAGUUUCUAGUUCCAGACCUACCAACAGUGAUAACUAAUUUGAGAUCACCACUCCUUCAGUGGUGUGCAGUACAGACAUAGCCAUAGUUGGUCUGAUGUUCAGCUCCAUCCUGUAAAGCCUGAGGGAUUUCAGGUGUACUGCUGACUUGGAGCAGGAGCAGUGCUGAAUCUCUGAAAGAUUUGUUGCAUGCCUCAGGAACAGCCACUGGCAUAUGUUUAAGGUUGAUUUCAACCUGGACUGUGAUUACACGAACACUUGUGCUGGCAUAAGGGAGUAGGCGGCACAGGAGCAAAAUGAAGAGACAGAGUGCUCUAUGCCAACAUGACCCAAGAUCCAAGGCAGUGUUGUCACGAAAAAGAAAAGAAAUCUGGGUCAAACACAACUACUCGUCAGCAAGUACCUGAAAGGUUUAAUUUCUGCUGGCCCAAGUUCCUGGGUACAUGCCACUUAAGAAAGUAAACACCCAGCAGAUGUGAUGUAAACAUGCAACGAUUUUCAUCAACAUGCUCUUCGGGAUUGCCUUCACAUUAGCAAGGACAGCACAGACAAUUGGCAGCUCCAAAGUACAAUCAUGCUUUAGAUUUUUUAAAAAUCUGUGACACGCAUGCAGGAAAACUGUGUUUGUCUUUAGAUAAAUAUUUUCUAUUGGAGCUGUCUUACCAAGACUUGCAUAGCACAUUUAUUUCCCUGGGUCAUUUUCCAUUUUACAGUAAAUAGAUUAUA
Cygnus olor (mute swan) is the source of this 809-nucleotide long non-coding RNA. RefSeq lists it as uncharacterized. Lineage: Eukaryota; Metazoa; Chordata; Aves; Anseriformes; Anatidae. The record is from RefSeq and is a predicted model, not a curated record. The transcript is spliced from 5 exons.